GCUCCGAUAGCUCAGUCGGUAGAGCAUCAGACUUUAAUCUAGGAGUCCAUGGUUCGAGUUCCUGUUCGGGCG
Molecule: transfer RNA, 72 nt
Filed under: Rodentolepis nana
Lineage: Eukaryota; Metazoa; Platyhelminthes; Cestoda; Cyclophyllidea; Hymenolepididae
Description: Hymenolepis nana tRNA
Rfam family: tRNA
About the family: Transfer RNA (tRNA) molecules are approximately 80 nucleotides in length. Their secondary structure includes four short double-helical elements and three loops (D, anti-codon, and T loops). Further hydrogen bonds mediate the characteristic L-shaped molecular structure. tRNAs have two regions of fundamental functional importance: the anti-codon, which is responsible for specific mRNA codon recognition, and the 3' end, to which the tRNAs corresponding amino acid is attached (by aminoacyl-tRNA synthetases). tRNAs cope with the degeneracy of the genetic code in two manners: having more than one tRNA (with a specific anti-codon) for a particular amino acid; and 'wobble' base-pairing, i.e. permitting non-standard base-pairing at the 3rd anti-codon position.
Source: Rfam by way of RNAcentral